GACGGAGGGCGCGAGCGUUGUUCGGAAUUACUGGGCGUAAAGCGCGCGCAGGCGGAUGUGGCAAGUCGGGAGUGAAAUCCCGGGGCUCAACCCCGUGGACUGCUCCCGAUACUGCUCGUCUAGGGACCGGUAGAGGCCGGUGGAAUUCCCGGUGUAGCGGUGGAAUGCGUAGAGAUCGGGAGGAACACCUGUGGCGAAGGCGGCCGGCUGGGCCGGAUCCGACGCUGAGGCGCGAAAGCGUGGGGAGCAAACAGGAUUAGAAACCCCCGUAGUCC
This 275-nucleotide ribosomal RNA is filed under the name uncultured bacterium. Its description in RNAcentral is "partial 16S ribosomal RNA". It matches the Rfam family "Bacterial small subunit ribosomal RNA", at positions 524 to 796 of the family's 1533-position model. The record is from RNAcentral.